CCUCCUUUCUUGGCAUGCACGGAGGUCCUCAGUGCUCGUGUGUGUAUGUGAUGGAGGGAUAUAAGUGCCAGUGUUAUGUCUUCGGUACCAGCCUGUUCCCAUCAGCUGGUCCUAUCCUCAAUCACUGGUACAUUG
Small nucleolar RNA from Pygocentrus nattereri (red-bellied piranha), 135 nucleotides. Ensembl annotates it as Small nucleolar RNA SNORA57. Lineage: Eukaryota; Metazoa; Chordata; Actinopteri; Characiformes; Serrasalmidae. The record is from Ensembl.